CCCUUAGAUGUCCUGGGCCGCACGCGCGUUACACUGAUGCAUUCAACGAGCUUAUAACCUUGGCCGAGAGGCCUGGGCAAUCUUGUUAACGUGCAUCGUGAUAGGGAUAGAUUAUUGAAAUUAUUAAUCUUGAACGAGGAAUUCCUAGUAAACGCAGAUCAUCAAUCUGCAUUGACUACGUCCCUGCCCUUUGUACACACCGCCCGUCGCACCUACCGAUUGGAUGGUCCGGUGAAGCCUCGGGAUUGUGGUUCUUGCCGCUUUAUUGUGGCGUGACCGCGAGAACUUGUCUAAACCUUAUCAUUUAGAGGAAGGUGAAGUCGUAACA
This 328-nucleotide ribosomal RNA is filed under the name uncultured eukaryote. RNAcentral's name for it is "partial 18S ribosomal RNA". It matches the Rfam family "Eukaryotic small subunit ribosomal RNA", at positions 1470 to 1796 of the family's 1831-position model. The record is from RNAcentral.